Molecule: non-coding RNA, 163 nt
Organism: Myotis lucifugus (little brown bat)
Lineage: Eukaryota; Metazoa; Chordata; Mammalia; Chiroptera; Vespertilionidae
Source: Rfam
AUCGCUUCUCAGCCUUUUGGCUAAGAUCAAGUGUAAAAAUACAUCUUUAUUUUAGACUGUAUUUUCAUACUGAUGUUUUGAUGAUGAAGUCUGACCUUAAUAAUACAUAGAUUCUGCUUCAAAUAAAAAUAAUGCCCGACCCCUGAAGGGCAGUGAAAGGAAG